GGAUUCUUCUUGAAGGAGGCUUUGGAGACACCGCUUGACAGGUCCUGGCCCCGCCCCUUCCUCCCACAGUGUGACAGUCCGGGAGGGGGGGAGGGGGGGUUGAUUCUUUUCUUCCUUCGCCCCAAGAUAUUGGACCCGCAGUUUCAAGCCAGUUGCGGCCUCUGAGGCUCACUCUGCGUGCCCCUGUACCAUCCAGUGCCUGGAUCCGGCUUCACUUGGCCCCUUUGAAUGCCGCUCGCCCUGGCAGGGACUCGGCCACCCCUGCGGGCUGGGCGCCUCUGGCCGCCCGCUUCUCUAGCCUCUUCGCUCCCGCCGCGGGCUGACCUGCGGAGUGAGGUGUCCCGGGCCCCUGCGCCCAUCCGGAGUGACGGUGGCUCCUCUGUUCGCGGCGCCUCUCCCCCGAAUUGAAUCUAUAAUCCUUCAAGCCCCGGCUGCAAGUUCUGCUUCCCCCCCCGCCCCACUCCGUCCCCCCUUUGGGCUUUUCAGUUUUUGACUCCUCUCCACUAUUUGGUUCCCCCCUCCAGUUAAAGGGGGGGGGGGAGCCAAUUAAAUCGGCAGUGCUUGAAGACAGCCUUGCCUCCUGCCCAAUUCCCCGGCCUCCCCGAGGACAAAUUAGAGAAAAGAAAACAGGGCUGGGGGAAAAAAAAACAAAAACCCGCAUCUGCGCGGCUUUUUCCUCCUUUUCUUUCGCAUUCUUUCUCCUUUUUUUCCCUUUCCCCUGCAGAGAAAUGUCAGAAACCAGGCAAGGAUCCAUUCAUCCUGGGGACACACACGGCUUCGAGGCCCCGGGCAGAGGAGACGGGAGGAGCUGGUGGUGCACACGCUUGGUGCAAUGAGCGUGGGGAUGUGUGCGACACACACAGCUUGGACCGUGUCCGUAGUGUAGCAUUGGGGUCCCUGUAGAGCCUCGGUGGCAGAACUCCGCCUUUCUUGUCAACGUCUCUGCCUGGUUUCGCGGAAAGAAGGCGCUUCUCCUCGGCCCCAGUGAAUGUGAUGCUCCAGCUGUCCCCUCUGCUCCUAGGUGGUGGAGCAAAAGUCUUACUUCUGUUCAGUAGGGAAUCAGCAAACGCCGAACGGAGGAGCCGCCAGCAAAGUUAUCCCUGGCAAGCCGAAAUAGGGGAGUUUCCAUUUUCCCGAGGUCUCUCGCGCAGCCGGCUGUUUCCUUCUAAAGCUGUAAAGCCAAAUCUCUAGAAACCUCUCUGAAUGGGUAUGAUUGUUCCGCUAGGAAUAUUUUCUAGGAGGAUCAUUCAACUAUCGAGCCCUAUUUAAAAAAAAAACAAAGUGACCCACUCAAGAGUCCGCCUGAAGGUAAGGUAUUUAGACAUAUCCAGUCUUCUCCAAGGCAGGAGAUUUCCUAGUGCCUUGGCCCCAAAUAUGCUUUUAGACCAGCAUCAUCGGUGCCCUAGUUAUCCGCGAUUUUAGAAGACACUUUGUAAUAGAGCAUUAAGGAAAGUAGCUGCCUUUGCUAAUCACACACUUUGGUACAGUGAACCCCCGGCGGAGGUGUUACUCAGCCCCCUGUCCCUGGGAUCGCUGAUGGGAACCUGUGCCGCCGCCAGACAGAGAGAGAGGUGUUACACCCAAAGGAACAACUGCACUUGCAAAAGGCGCACUGGCAGGGAUUGAUUCAUCGUGUGAACAAGAAUCAUACCCAAGGUUAAACACACACACACACGAAAGAAAGAGUGAUCGCCCAGAGAACGGCUGCUUACUAAUUCAUGCUCUAACAAAUAAGCAAUUAACAGAUAGAGUCGCUAAUUAGUAAGCAGGUAUUUCUAUUAUAAACUGUAUUCAACCAUGGAGAGGAGCAAUAAUGUACAGCAGCGACAGAGACAGCACGAGCAGCCGGACUAGCUGGAUUAUAAGGACCAGUUUCCUAUUAAUGGGGCAGAGAAGGCUGAUAGGGUUUAUAAUAGGCCCAUAUUCUUCCCCCAAGAAAGAUCAGGAGUUUUGUAAAGAUGGGUUAAAGGAACACUCGUCAAGUACUUGUAGGUUUCUACCCUAUAGGUUUACCACAGCUUGGAGUGGAGGGGAUUCCAAACUUCCAUACGAGUAGAAAUGUCUUCUUGACUUUUAAGAAGUUUCAAUAAACCCUGUUUUGGGAGGAAUUUAAAUCCAGCUGCUUGCACCCGGCUGCUUAAAGAGGGCCGCAUGAGACAGCUGCAGAGAGACCCAAAAAGUCAAAGUGAGCAACUUUGCCUCUUACAGUUUGUAUGACAACUUCCACCUACUCUGUAUGCGUAUACAUCUUCUUACUAUAUGUUUCAUUCUAUGCAUCCGAUGAAGUGGGCUGUAACCCACGAAAGCUUA
Molecule: long non-coding RNA, 2310 nt
Organism: Chelonia mydas (Green sea turtle)
Lineage: Eukaryota; Metazoa; Chordata; Testudines; Cheloniidae
Exons: 3
Source: RefSeq, a predicted model, not a curated record